This is a small nuclear RNA of Nannospalax galili (Upper Galilee mountains blind mole rat), 105 nucleotides long. The record is from Ensembl. NCBI's taxonomy places the organism in Eukaryota, Metazoa, Chordata, Mammalia, Rodentia, Spalacidae.
GUUUGGCACAAAACACACAUAUACUAAAACUGCAAAGAUACAGAGAAGAUUAGCAUCAUUUAGUGCAAGAGUGACAAGCAGAUUUGUGAAGCAGCUCAUAUUUUU